AUUAAAAAUGGAAAUGAUUGAUGAUAUUUAUCUCUGUGGACCUGGACUCUGCUCAGUUGGAUUUCAUGAGCUCUGUUUGUGAACUAGAAUGUACAGUACGGACAGAGUUUAAUUGUGUUCUAAGAGCCGUGACAAAGGACAAUGGAAAUACCUGAGAUUGAUUCUCACUUGUGUAAUGUUCUCAUUAGCGCUCUGAUGGCAUGUGUAUUAUAUGACAGAAUAAAUUGCUAUUCUUUGCCAUGUUAGGGCUCUUAAUAUUCUACUCCUGUCUUUCCUGGAUCAAUGUCUCAGUCCCUUAACCGGGGAUCUCAUUACAUUCUCAACAAAUCCAUGAAAUCAUAGGUGGCCUCUAUUGCAUGAGCUUUCUUCAUUAAUGCAGAGGCACUUUAUAUAGCAAGUAUUAAUAUGGAAAUGACACAGUUCACUGGAGAGGGCCUAUAGAAAAUGAGGGAACAAUAAUAACUC
Non-coding RNA from Pelobates cultripes (western spadefoot toad), 465 nucleotides. The record is from the annotation of a GenBank genome assembly. NCBI's taxonomy places the organism in Eukaryota, Metazoa, Chordata, Amphibia, Anura, Pelobatidae.